This 496-nucleotide ribosomal RNA is filed under the name uncultured Fusibacter sp. RNAcentral describes it as "bacterial SSU rRNA". It matches the Rfam family "Bacterial small subunit ribosomal RNA", at positions 893 to 1382 of the family's 1533-position model. Lineage: Bacteria; Bacillati; Bacillota; Clostridia; Eubacteriales; Fusibacteraceae. The record is from RNAcentral.
ACAGAAACUACAAAGGAAUUACGACGGGACCCGGCACAAGCAGCGGAGCAUGUGGUUUAAUUCGAAGCAACGCGAAGAACCUUACCAGAUCUUGACAUCCAAUUGACCAUCUUUUAAUCGAGAUUUUGCCUUCGGGUACAAUUGAGACAGGUGGUGCAUGGCUGUCGUCAGCUCGUGUCGUGAGAUGUUGGGUUAAGUCCCGCAACGAGCGCAACCCUUGUGUUUAGUUGCAAACAGGUCAAGCUGUGCACUCUAGACAGACUGCCGUGGACAACACGGAGGAAGGUGAGGAUGACGUCAAGUCAGCAUGGCCCUUACGUCCGGGGCUACACACGUGCUACAAUGGCCGGUACAAAGGGUUGCGAAGCCGUGAGGUGGAGCGAAUCUCAAAAAGCCGGCCUCAGUUCGGAUUGGAGGCUGCAACUCGCCUCCAUGAAGUCGGAAUCGCUAGUAACCGCAGAUCAGCUACGUUGCGGUGAAUACGUUCCCGGGCCUU